UACGGGGGGUGCAAGCGUUGUUCGGAAUCAUUGGGCGUAAAGCGCGCGCAGGCGGCUUGGUAAGUCAGAUGUGAAAGCCCUGGGCUUAACCCAGGAAGUGCAUUUGAUACUGCCUCGCUAGAGUACGGGAGAGGAAAGUGGAAUUCCUGGUGUAGAGGUGAAAUUCGUAGAUAUCAGGAGGAACACCGGUGGCGAAGGCGACUUUCUGGCCCGAUACUGACGCUCAGGCGCGAAAGCGUGGGGAGCAAACAGG
RNAcentral lists this ribosomal RNA (253 nucleotides) under uncultured bacterium. Its description in RNAcentral is "partial 16S ribosomal RNA". It matches the Rfam family "Bacterial small subunit ribosomal RNA", at positions 524 to 776 of the family's 1533-position model. RNAcentral also lists the same sequence under 1 other name. The record is from RNAcentral.